Molecule: long non-coding RNA, 13117 nt
Filed under: Ananas comosus (pineapple)
Lineage: Eukaryota; Viridiplantae; Streptophyta; Magnoliopsida; Poales; Bromeliaceae
Description: long non-coding RNA (ACOM_LNC024822)
Source: RNAcentral
GCAAGGGGUCGGGGAAGUCCGUCCCGCGUAUGGCGACGCAGCCGGGCAGGCGGACGGGGUCGGGGAGGUCUUCGAAGUCGACGUCGGUGGUCUCGUCGAGCCGGGGCAGGCGCAGCGCGAGGGUGAGCAUCGUAAGGUUGGAAGGGUAAAAUAUGUAGCCCGGCACUCCGAGCUCCCGCACCAGCGACAGCGUCACGGCCCCAAAAAGGUCACAGACGAAGGCGGCGGCGGGGUUUCGGAAGGAGAGGAAGGCGUCGCGGAGGAGGGGGAGGCAUCGAGCGGGGAGGGCGCAGAGGUGGGCUUCGAUCGGGGAGUCGGGGGGGAGGUCGGAGAGGGAGAUGGAGGGGAGGGAGACGGAGGUGACGGAGUCGGAGGGGAGGGAGGCGAGGAAGGCGGCCUGCGCUGGGGAGUCGAAGUUGGAGAAGGUGAGUAGGGUGGCGGAGAAGCCGUGGGCGGCGGUGAGCCGGACGGCGAAGUCCGCCAGCGGGAUCACAUGGCCCAUCCCCGGCGUCGGGAGCAAAACCACAUGCGGCCGCCGGCUCUCCUUCCCCUCGACAGCCAUAUAAUUAAUAUCGUAAUAUUUGUUUGGACUGUCGUGCAGUAUAAAACAGAGAUACAGAUAUAUUCGUGAGAAGGGAAGUCUGAGUUGUGUUGUGUUUGUAAAAUUUGUCAGGAAGCUUCUCAUGAAUUAAGGGAAAAAAAAGUGUGGGCCAUGUUCUCAGGUCGGUCGUCUUUGGCUCCAUGUGUUGUGGACGUGUUUGGUUAUGUCUUCCUUUCCAAUUUAAUAAGACAUAAAUAGAAUAUAGUAAAUUUUAACUUUUUUUAAUAGUUAUAGCAUUUUAGAAAGCAAUUUGUUACAUAAGUCAUAAAGUAACAAACACAGUACAUGAACUUGAUCAAAUUAUUAUUACGUACAAUAAUUAAUAGAUGCUAACCUAAUUAUUUAGAUAAGAUGCAUCUUAUAAUAAUAUAUAUUAAGCUUACUACCUAGAACAAAAUAUAAUUUGUAUGUACGCGUCACGUUUUUAUUAUUUCAUUUUAAACAAUUAUUGUAUGCGCAUAAUUGCUGACGAGUACUGCGUACAUCUUUUUAAUAUGUUGAUACAUCAAAAUAUUUCUCAUUCUAGUAACUCCCCUUCAACCAGUAUUGUCAAAAUACACUCCUGAACUUUUAAUUUCAGUUGCUAAAUUAACCAGUUUUAUUAAUCCUCCUCCUCCAAUAAAGUUAUUAAUUAAUUAAAUAAUGAUGCUGAUUGAUAAAUUAUCCUCAAAUUGCUAUAAUUACUUUCCUUUUGUACGCUUUGGGAACAAAUAAUAUCUUUAUAUAUGUAUACAAUUAAUGUGUACCUUAUUUAUGGGCACAUCGACAAUAUCAACAAUUUAUAUAUAUAAAAAAAAAUCUUUUAGACAUUCAAAAUAUUUUUCUAAAAAAAUAUUAAAAAAGAUGGAUUAAAUACCUUACAUCUGAUUUAGAUUUAUAACCUUCUAUCAUAAUAUGGUGGGCAUACAUGUUACUAAUUAAUUAGUAAUUACUCUGCCGAAUACAUUUUGAUCCUGUUCCAACUUUUGUUUUUAUCUUUCCUCUUUUUGUACUUGAUUAAUUACCUUAUAUUCCAAUAAUUACUUUUCUCCUCCCAUUUUGCUUAUGUUUUAUAUUGGGGUCUAAAAAUGAUUCUACUAGUUAUAUUAAGGUAUUAGAUGAACUUGAUCCAAUAACUAUUUUUAAAAGAAAUAAACGAAACAGUUAACAUACUACCUUACCCUCUCAAAAAAAAAAAAUUUGCUGUAAUAAUACCUUUCCGCCGUAUCGUACGGGCCGUUAACUAGUUUUCUAUAAUUUAACAACUACAACUCACGAGGAAAACGACAAGUGCAAAAUUAUAUAAAAAAAAAAAACUUAACAUUUAUUGAGGAUCUGUCUUUCAUUUAAAAAAAAAAUGUAAAAGAGACAAAUGAAAUCCUCAGCAAUCCAACUGGUACCGACCGUCCCUAGAGCAAGUGGCAAAAGACUUGGUGGUUGGUACCCGAAACUCAAAUUUGAAUCCUAGUUGAUUCAUAUUUCCAGCUAAGUUUAUUUCUAAAUAAAAUAAACGAAGCAGGUAGCGCGCUAUCUAUCUCUCAAAAAAAAAAUAAAUAAAAUCCGAGCAAGUGGUCAAACAAGCCAUUUUGGUGGGACAGCAAAUAUAUUUCAUGGACCGAAUCAAUAUGAUGAACUUCUAGAAACAACAUAAAGCAAUUAAUUUUUAAAUUUAGAAGUCAUUGAGUAGAGCUAGAAUACCCCCAAAAGCACCAAUAGGUUGGUGUUUUUGAGUUUUUAGCUUUUUGAUGGAGAGAUAUAGGGUUGAGAUGAUAGUGGUAGGUGGUACUACGUGGAAUAAUACUUGAUCCAAAGGGUAUUAGUAAUUGAAAAGCAUAUCCAAGGGAUAAAAACUUAGAAGCACCAAUAAGUUGGUGGUUCUAAAAGUAUUCUAGCUCUACUCGUCAUUGAGUAUCACUUUUUUUAACAGGCGUAUAUUCCAAUCUACACUAAUUUAGUUGACUAAAUAUUCACGCAUCGUUAAUGUAAAAAUAAUAUUGUAAUACUGUGAUUAUUGAUGCACCAAAAAUUAUAAUUUUACAUCACUUUUAUUUCAGUAGUAUAUUAAUAUUUAAUCAGAUAAAUUCGAGUGCGGGACUUGGCUACUUGCUUUGUACUUAGUCCCAUACCAUUUGUUUUUUUUUUUUUUUGGAAUGUUACUUCAUCCCCUCUUUUGAUGUUGACUAUUGUCAAUUUGGCUUAAAUUAGCAUGCCAUUACAUUAAUAAGAGAAUCUUAUUGAAGAAACAAUGGUCACAUAUGAUGCAAAUAUAGUCAAAACAAAAAAGCUUUUAUAUUCUUAGGAAAUUACUUAUAAAAUAUUCGAAUCACCAUCUAAAAAGAAAAGAAAAACUAACCACCCAUUUUCCUGGUCCAAAUGGCUUGACAUUUUCAAACAGAGUUUUCAAAUUUAUUUAUUUUAUAAAAAAUAAUUACGUGUAUUAAGUUGAUCUGAAAAACAAACUAUUCAUUGAGUAUACUAACAUUCAUGCGAAAUUAAUAUAAAUAACACGCGAAAUUAACAGGCAGUACGAUGCAUACUAAACAAACUAUUAAUAUAAAUGACCUGCGAAAUUAACAGAUAGUAUGAUGCAUACUAUGAAAAAAAUUAAUUAGACAAAAAAUUAUAAUUGAUAAAAAUAAUUAUUCACAAAAAUAUAGAUAUGAUACUUUGUUUACUUUUACGCAGCACAAGAAAAUAAAUAGAUAGACCUAAGUAAUAGAUAAACCUAGUUAUCCAAAAGCCGAUCAAGAGGUAGGGAAGUUCCAGUCCUCUAUAUAAAGUUAAAUUUGGGACUCAGUACGCUUGUAUGGGUUUAUUGUAUAACGGUGUGUUUGGUAAAAUCGAUCUACACUUCAGUAAAGCUAGAGUUCCGUCUGUAUGGUAGGAAAAAUUCUAGAAUGCAACGGGUAUAUUAGUGACGUGGCGUAACAAACUAAUCAAAUUAAUCCUUUUAAGAAUAUAUGUCCCAUCAUGAUUGUAAAAAAAUAUUUUUAUUGUACUUUUGUUUAAAAAGAAGGAAUGUGAUUGGCUUGUUAUUGAUGACGUGGUACAAGUGUGACAGUGUAGAAUUCCUCCCAAGAAAGGGUGUAGGCCCCAUGGAAGUCAAGCUCCGCCAUUUCGUCCGUGAGCCAACUUGUGGUUUUCUGAGACGAAUUCACACAUGCAGGCGGUGUAGGCCCCAUGGAAGUCGAGCUCUGCCGUUUCGUCCAAACAUAGGCGAAUUCCUGUUACAAGAAUUAUGUCACCUCCACCUCGAAUUCGAUCAAAACAAAUACGUUCUAAGUUAGUUUUUUUUUUUUUAAGAGAGAAAAACAACAUACUAUCCAUUUCGUUGAUUUCUUUUAAAAUAAAAAAUAAACUUAGCUGAAAAUAUAAAAUAAUUAGAUUUCGAAUUUAGAAUCUCAAGUAUCAAUCACUAAAUCUUUUGCCACUUGCACUAUGGCGGGGGGUCAUUACACUCUAAGUUGUUGAAAGAAUUGUUNUUACCCUAUCAGAAAUCAAAUUUGAUUUUAAAAAUAAUUGAAGUAUACUUAGCAUAUAGGAGUUUGUAUGUAGCACUGGACAAUUAAUUUCUGACAAAGUUAGAGUAAAAUUUAAACACACAAAAUAAAAUCAUAAUACUGUACUUAAUGAUGCAAAAUCCACUGGUGAUAUUUUUCCUCCUGUUUUGUCCAUUUACAAGAUUCUUGUACCCUUCAAUUUUGGUAUUUUCCUAUCUUAUCUUACCUUAUCAAUAUCAAUAUAUUAAAGGGACCGACUGUUCCUAGCGCAAGUAGCAAAGAGCUUGAUGAUUGAUAUUCGAGAUAUCAAGUUCGAAUCCUAGUUGAUUCACAUUUCCAUCUAAGUUUAUUUAUAAAUAAAAUAAAUAAAACGGAUAACAUUCUACCUAUCUCUAAAAAAAAAAAAAAAAAAAAGAUUAAAGGCGUACCAUUAGGGCUGGCAAAUGAGCGAGCCGCUCGCUUCGAGCUCACGCGUCGAACUCGAUAUUUGCCAUCGUGAGCUCGACUCCGAAAUUAAAAAUGAAGCUAGCUUGAACAAAAAAACAAAGCUCGAAAUACCAUUUCAAACCGACUUGAGUACUUACUCCGCUCGUUCGAAUUAGGCCCCCGAAAAGCUCGAAAUCAUAUAUAUAUAUAUAUAUAUAUAUAUAUAUAUAUAUAUAUAUAUAUAUAUAUAUAGUAGAGCUACUAUACUAUCGAAAGUAUAGAGAUCUGGUGCUCUCGAUUUUUUGAUUCUUAGAUCAAUCCCUUUAAUCGUUUUUUAUCUUUGGAUUAAUAUUAUUAUUACCUUAUAGGGACCACUCAAUCCUAAGAGUAUUAUUUAAUCCUAGGGAGACCGCAAUCAUCUCAACGAUACAAUUUUUAAUCAAAUGGUCAAAAAUUAAAAAACAUCAAAUCCUCUAUAUUUCGAUAGCAUAGUAGUUCUACACUAUAUAUAUAUAUAUAUAUACAUACAUAUACAUAUAUAUAUAUAUACAUAUAUAUAUAUAUACAUAUAUAUAUACAUAUAUAUAUAUACAUAUAUAUAUAUACAUACAUAUACAUAUAUAUAUAUAUAUAUACAUAUAUAUAUAUAUAUACAUAUAUACAUAUAUAUAUAUAUACAUAUAUAUAUUAAAAAAUAUAUAAAUAUAAUAUAUAUAUAUAUAUUAAAAUAUAUAUAAAUAUAAUAUAUUUUAAUUAUAUAUAGGUUGAGUGAAUAAUCUGAGUUUAGUUAAAAUUGGGCCAAUGUUGUUGGCCCAUAAAAACAAACCCAAUAGACAAAUAAAAAAGUAAAAUUUUACUAAAUUUAUAUAUUUUUCUUUUCUUUCUUUCUUUCUUUUCUUUACAGAGUUCUAAAUUUUCAAUAUUUUUCUUUCUCAUUUUCUGCCUCUCACCCUAAGUGGCCAAGCCGGAAGCUCUCUAAGUUACCAAGUAACAUCAUAUGCUCGCCGUUGCCUAUCUUACUAUUUAUUGUAUGCUUGAAAAAACAUAUAGAAUAUUUUUAAAGUAAAAAAAUUAUUAUUCAUAUAAAAUUUUAAUUUUAGUUAUAUAUGAUUGGGUAGUUUAAUCCAAUAUUUAUCUAUAAAAUUUAUUUAUUUUUGACUGUAUAAAUGAAAAUGAAUAAUAUAGAAAUUGAAGGCGGAAGAAAAGACAUGUGAGGCUGAAAAAAUUAGAUAUUCAACUCAUAAAUUAUUUUUUUUAAUAUUAUAAUACUAUAUUUCAUAUAAUUAUUUUGUACUUUGAACUAUUAGACAUAUUUUUGUAUCAAAUUAUAGAUAAUGUUCUAUAUAAAUUAAACUAUUGAUCGUAUAAUGUUCAGAAUUUCAAGCGGCUCGUUUAGGGCUCGAGCUCGCUCGACUUGAAAUUAGGCUCGCUCGAGCUCGACUCGAAUUAAUUUCAAUCCAAGCUUGAGCUUAAAUUUAGGCUCGAAAUUAAUUUCAAGCCGAAUUUGAGCCGAGGUAAGCUCGCUCGAGCUCGGCUCGUUUCCACCCCUACGUACCAUACAUGAAAGGAGAAUCCAAACCAUGUGUACAGCAGAGCCCUCCUCGCUCCUGUGGGGCCCACUCUUUUUUUUUUUUUUUUUCUCUCUCUCCCAUACUUCCUUCACCCUUUCUUUUUUUAUUUGUUUUUUUCUCUCAACAUUUUUUUUUUUAUUUUUGUCUAUAUCACGUGUAAAAUUUUAUUAUAUGAACUAACCUUAUUUUUUAAUAGUCGAUAUAACAAAAUUAAAAUUUCAUACGGUAUAAAAAAAAUUGUACACCAAGUGUAUAAAACAUGCUUAUAUACAAUUUAUAAUUUGAUUUUUUUUUUAUUUUUACCUAUAUCAAGUAUAAAAUUUUAGCGCAUACACCAAUUCUAUUUUUUAAUAGUCUCCUCAAGGAAAGCGGUGGGACCCACUUUUUUUCUCUCUCAUACUCUCUCUCUCUCACACCCUAUACCCCCCCCUCCUCCUCUUUUUUUCUCUCAACACCUUUUCUUUUUUGUUUUUUCCUACACAAGUUUAAAAUUUUAUCAUAUAGAUCAACCUUAUUUUNCUUAUUUUUUAAUAGUCGAUAUAACAAAAUUAAAAUUUCAUACGGUAUAAAAAAAAUUGUACACCAAGUGUAUAAAACAUGCUUAUAUACAAUUUCUCAACACCUUUUCUUUUUUGUUUUUUCCUACACAAGUUUAAAAUUUUAUCAUAUAGAUCAACCUUAUUUUUUAAUAAUUGAUAGUGUACAGCAACCACUUCAAAUAAAGAGGUGGGGCUCACUCCACUUUUUUUUUCUCUCUCUCACUCUCCCUCACUCUCUCACACAUUGUACACCGAGUGUAUAAGACGUGCACAUGUAUUGCAUAUGAUAAAGUUUAGCUUUCUAUCUAUCUAUAUCCAUACACCCUACACACACCCUACACCCUACACCCUACACCCUACACCUCUAUAAUCCUAUUUUUUAAUAUUCAAUAUAACAAAAUUAAAAUUUCAUACGGUGUAAAAAAGUUGUACACCGAAUUUAUAAGAUAUGCUCAUAUACACGUCUUUGACAGUAUCAAAGAGAACUUAUAUACUUUGGGUUAAAAUUUUUUUGUACGUAUAAAAAUGCAAGUAUCUAAUUUAAACAUACACAAUAAAUGAAAUAACUAGGAAAUAUAAUCUGAUCGAAUACUUUGUCAUAAUAAAAGUAGAUUAUACAUGUAUGAAAGUUGUGUGCACUCAGUAGUUGUACAGGAUAACAAAGAAGGACCCUCAUAUUUCUGGCAAAAAUACUUUAUUUUUUAAUAGUCGAAAUACAAAAUUAAAAUUUCAUACGAUGUAAAAAAAAUUGUACAACAAGUGUAGAAGACAUGCUCAUAUAUAAUCUAUAAUUUAAAAUUUUUUUAUUUUUGCCUACAAAAUUUUAUUGCAUGGACCAAUCUUAUUUUUUAAUAGUCUCCUCAAGCAAAGAGGGGGCACACUUUUUUUUCUCUCUCUCAUUCUCUCUCUCUCUCUCUCACCCUACACUGCUUAUUUUAUUUUAUUUUUUCUCUCAACACCUUUUUUUUUUAUUUUUUCCUGCUCCAAGUGUAAAAAAUAGGGCUGGUCCAUGCGCUAAAAUUUUACACUUGGUGUAGGCAAAAAUAAAAAAAAUUCAAAUUAUAAAUUAUAUAUGAGCAUGUCUUAUACACUCGUAUACAACUUGUUUUACACCUUGUAAACUUUUAAUUUUUGUUAUAUCGACUAUUAAAAAAUAGGGUUAGUCCAUGCGAUAAAGUUUUAUACUUGAUGUAGGAAAAAAAAUUUAAAAAAAGGUGUUGAGCGAAAAAAAUAAAAAAAAAAAAGGGUGCAGGGUGUGUGAAAGAGAGAGUGUGAGAGAGAGAAAAAAAAAACCUAUUUUUUAAUAAUUAAUAUAAUAAAAUUAAAAUUUCAUCUCAUAAGUAUAAUUUAUAAUAUAUAAAAAAUAUAGAUAGAAAAAUUAAUAGAUUUGUACCUCUAUAAUAAAACUUCAUAAAUAUUAUGUAAAAAAAAUUAAACAUUCGGUGUAUAAGACAUUGUUACACAUUAUUCAAUUUGACUUUAACUUAACAUCAAUAAAGUUUAGUUUUGAGCUCUCCUUCCUUGGAGCAUUGGUGGGGUCCGCCCACUUUCUCCACUCCCACUUUUUGGUAGUAGGUAAUAUUUUGCUUUGUUUUUUUAGAAAUAAAUUUAGCUGAAAAUGCGAUUCGAAAUUGGGACUUCGGAUAUUGAACACCAAACUCUUUACAACGUACGGUGGGAACGAUAGGUAAUAUUAGAAUAAAAAAUGGGCCAGUAUUUGAUUUAGUAAUUUAAAUUUAGGGAAAACUUCAAAAACCCCCCCUGUGGUUUCGUGCUUUCUCACUUUACUACCCUGUGGUUUAAAACGUAUCAAUUUGCCCCCCUGUGGUUUCGUUUUUCUCUUUUUGUUAUCAAUUUUAUUAUUAUUUUUUUCUUAAAUCAGUGACAAAGUUAAAAUUAAAGGAUACUAAAGUGAAUAUUCGAUAAAUAUAGAUGGUUAUCUGAAGUUUUUUGUAUAUAAUUUAACGAAAUGUUAACGAAAAAGCUUCCGAAAAGAUAAAAAUGAAACCACAGGGGGGCAAAUUGAUACGUUUUAAACCACAGGGUAGUAAAGUGAGAAUGCACGAAACUACAGGGGGGUUUUUGAAGUUUUCCCUUAAAUUUAACAUCUUUUAGAUUCUUAUACUUAAAAAAAAAAUUAAAAUACUAUUAAUAGCAAAAGAAAAAUAUGGCCAAAUUGCAUAAAAAAUCCACUAGUUUUGCGCUGUUGAAAAAGUGGGCCACUUUUUUCGAUUUUGCAGAUUCGGACCGAAUUUUCACCAAACUGACCAAAAUACCCUUAUUACUUUUUCCCUCUCCUCUUUUUUUCUCUCGUUCAUUUUUUUUUUCUCGUCGGUAGAGUGGAGGCGGAGCGGAGGCAGAAACGGCCCGUCUCGCCUCUCACCCUUAUGCUCUCGCCCUCGCCCUCGCCUGCGCACUCCCCACCUUCCUCGCCUCCGACCCCGCCGAGGCCGCACCGCGACUUUUUUUUUUUUUUCCUCUCCGACUCUCCUCCACCGUCUUCGGCGACGACGCCUCUCUCGCCCUUCCGCCUUUCUUGUCCUCUCUCUCUCCCUCCUACUCUGCUGCCUUCGACGACGACGCAUCUUCGCUGACGACGCAUCUUCGCCGACGCCGACACCGUUUAGGUCGCUACGGCGCCGCAACCUAGGGUGGGGGGUCCUUAGUGGCGUUGUCGCCGGCGCUGGCAGAGAGGGGUGACAAAAAAAAAAUAUAGAAGAAGCAAGAAAAAAAAAUAAAGAUAGAAAAUUAUAGAAAAAAAAAGAUGAAGAUUAAAUUGCACCGUUAAAAUAAAAUUACACUGUUUUAAAAGAACGUUGCAUUAUUAAGAUGUAAACUGCAGCUUUAAGAUUAAAUUAUACUCUUUAAACGAAAAUUGCACUCUUUAGGAGAUAUUUAUAUUGUUUCUCCUCUUAUUGCACUCUUUCAGAUGUAAACUGCAUCCAUUAAGAUAAAAGUUACACUCUUUAAACGAAAGUUGCACUCUUUGAGAGAUAUUUACACUAUUUCUCCUCUUAUUGCAUUGUUUCUCCUCUUGUUGCACUAUUUCUCUUAUUGUUUACACAGAAAUGGUGCAACAAGAGGAGAAACAGUGCAACAAGAAAAGAAAUAAUAUAAAUAUUUCUUAAAGGAAUGCAGUUUACAAAAGGAGAAACAGUGCAGCAAGAAGAGAAGAAAUAAUGUAAAUAUCUCUCAAAGAGUGCAACUUUCGUUUAAAGAGUAUAAUUUUUAUCUUAAUAGAUACAGUUACAUUUAAAAGAAUGCAAUAAGAGAAGAAACAGUGCAACAAGAGAAGAAACAGUGCAACAAGAGGAGAAACAGUAUAAAUAUCUCUUAAAGGGGUGCAGUUUACAUCUCAAAGGGUGCAAGAAGAGAAAAAAUAGUGUAAAUAUCUCUCAAAGAGUGCAACUUUCGUUUAAAGAGUGUAACUUUCAUCUUAAUGGAUGCAGUUUACAUCUGAAAGAGUGCAAUAAGAGGAGAAACAGUGUAAAUAUCUCUCAAAGAGUGUAAUUUUCGUUUAAAGAGUGUAACUUUCAUCUUAAUGGAUACAAUUUACAUCUGAAAGAGUGCAAUAAGAGGAGAAACAGUGUAAAUAUCUCCCAAAGAGUGUAAUUUUCGUUUAAAGAGAUAAAAAUUUAUCUUAAAGCUGCAGUUUACAUCUUAAAUAGUACAACUUAUGUUCAUAAUAGUGCAACGUUCUUUUAAAACAGUAUAAUUUUAUUUUAACGGUGCAAUUUCAUUUUCAUCUUUCUUUUUCUAUAAAUUUUUAUCUUUAUUUUUUUUUCUUGCUUCUAUCAUUUUUUUUUAUCACCCCUCUCUGCCAACGGCCACUGCGCCGGACACGACGCCGCUAAGAACCCCCCGCUCCGAGGCUGCAGCGCCGCAGCGACCUCCACGGUGUCGGUGUCGGCGAAAAUGCGUCAUCGUCGGAGGCGGCAGAGGAGGAAGGAGAGGGAGAGGACAAGAAGGGCGGGGAAGGGUGAGAGAGGCUUCAUUGUCGGAGACGGUAGAGGCGAGUCGAACAAGAAAAAAAAAAGAGUCGCGGCGCAGCCUCGGUGGGGUCGGAGGCGAGGAUGGUGGGGGGUGCGCGGACGAGGGCAAGGACGAGCUCGAGAGCAUGAGGGUGAAAGGCGAGGCGGGCCAUUUCCGCCUCCGCCUCUGCCUCCACUGCUUUCUUCGGUGAGAGAAAAAAAAAAUGAACGAGAGAAAAAAAGAUGAGAGAGAAAAAGGAGAGAGAAAAAGUAAUAAAGAUAUUUUAGUCAGUUUGCUGAAAAUUCGGACCGAAUCUGCAAAAACGAAAUAGAUGGCCCACUUGUACAAAAACCCAAAAUUAGUGAAUUUUUUUGUACAAAUUGGCCGAAAAAUACUAGCUACCUAUUAUUAUAGUUUUUGAAUACAUAGAGUUUAUUAUUUGGCGUGAUAUGUGCUAUUAUAAAUUGAAGGACUACAAAGUUAACAUUAAAUACUUAAUUUACUAUCAAUAGUAUUAUAGGUGAACUCUUUUAUGCAUAGAAUUAAAAAAAAAGAAAAAUUAAUUACACCAUUUGCCCCAAACAUUCAUUUUUUGUUUUGAUUUUAGACUUAAGAUUUUCUCAAUUAAAUUCUUAAGCUAUAUUAUUUGUUUCGAUUAAGUCCUGCUCAUCAAAAAGUUUAAUAAUUUUGAUAAAAUUUGUAGCAAAUAUGAUUUAGAAAUAAUGUGACAAUUCUCGUCAGAUUUUAAUACAAGACGUUAUUGAAAGACUCAAGAGGCAUUUGAAACUUAAUUACAAAAUAUUUUACAAAAUUGAGUGUCAAAAUAGAAAGCUUAUGAUAGAGAGCGAUAUAAAGACACCACAUUAAAUUACUAACUUGUGGACUAUAUUAAUAUUAAUUCAUCAAUAAUAUUUUAUAAAAUUCGUUUCAAGUACUUGCUACGCGCAGGCUCGCUCCCUCCUUCCACUUAUUGGCAACUCCCUGCAGCGCCUUGUAUGAGGACCCGUCCGGCGGUGCGAGCGCCCUCGCCGCCGCCUCCUGCAACUCCUUGGUGCGGCACCGCAGCGCCUUGCCCUUCUCCCCCUGCAUCAAUUCCUUCACCGCCGCCGCGAUCUCCUCCCUGCCGACGACACCGUAGGGGUCCCUUGACCGCGGCCGGAUGGCGAUUCCGACCGCCUCGGUGAGCAGGACGGCAUUCCAGUGCUGUUCGGCAUAGAGCGGGUGCGCAAUCAUCGGCACGCCAUGCACGGUGCUCUCCAGCGCCGAGUUCCAGCCGCAGUGUGAGAAGAAGCCGCCAGUCGCAGCAUGGGCCAGCACCUUGACCUGCGGCGCCCACGACGACACCACGCGGCCCACGUCCUUUGUCCGUUCCAAGAAGCCCUCCGGAAGGUAGUUCGAAGGAUCAUCCUUGCUUCCUAAUAUCAUUUAUAAACAGUAAAAAGCGAUAAAUCAAGUAUAGCAACCGAGUUCUCCAACCAACUUUGGCCUAUGAAAGAAAUAACUUUAAUACUAAAUCGAUGUGCGAAGAAAUAUAAAAACUCGAUACUAAUAAAUUAAAAUUAUAUAUAUUAUAAUAACAGCACAUCAUCAAAUUUUAUAACAAUAGCUCGGUACCUGAUGUGAAAAAGGCGGCGUUCUUUUCUUUGUCACUGGGACACCUGACAACCCAAAGGAAGCGCUGCCCGCUGGCCUCCAGCCCGAGUGCCAUCUCCUGCAUCUGCUCCGUCGAGAGGGAGCCGCCACUCCCGAAAGACACGAAUAAAACCGAAUCGGCCGGCUGCCGGUCCAGCCACUCCAGGCAGCCCGACUCGUCCGCCUCAUCCGAACCGGACCGGACCAUCGGACCCACCAGGUGGACCGGCGGCCUCCCUGCUUCCGCUUGCUCCUCCUCUCUGAUGGCUUUCAGCACCUCCUUCUCCAUCUCCUCGAAGCUGUUCACCAGGAUCCCGGCCGCGUCACUGUAACUGCAAAACAACUCGUUACUUUGACAAUUCAAUCGUAUUCGAACUCGGAAUCUACUAUUUUAUUUAAAAUUAUCAAAUUCUUUUAGAAACUUACGUUAUUAGAUAAGAUAACGAUAUUUCUUACCUGCUCAUGAUCCGGAUGAGCGGAGCGUACGCGGGGUGUGACUUCUUGCGCAAGGGGUCGGGGAAGUCCGUCCCGCGUAUGGCGACGCAGCCUGGCAGGCAGACGGGGUCGGGGAGGUCUUCGAAGUCGACGUCGGUGGUCUCGUCGAGCCGGGGCAGGUGCAGCGCGAGGGUGAGCAUCCUAAGAUUGGUAGGGUAAAAUAUGUAACCCGGCACACCGAGCUCCCGCACCAGCGACAGCGUCACGGACCCAAAAAGGUCGCAGACGAAGGCGGCGGCGGGGUUUCGGAAGGAGAGGAAGGCGUCGCGGAGGAGGGGGAGGCAUCGGGUGAGGAGCGCGCAGAGAUGGACUUCGAUCGGGGAGUCGGGGGGGAGGUCGGAGAGGGAGAUGGAGGGGAGGGAGACGGAGGUGACGGAGUCGGAGGGGAGGGAGGCGAGGAAG